RNAcentral lists this ribosomal RNA (202 nucleotides) under uncultured bacterium. RNAcentral describes it as "partial 16S ribosomal RNA". It matches the Rfam family "Bacterial small subunit ribosomal RNA", at positions 28 to 231 of the family's 1533-position model. The record is from RNAcentral.
GACGAACGCUGGCGGCGUGCUUAACACAUGCAAGUCGAGCGGUAAGGCCCUUUCGGGGGUACACGAGCGGCGAACGGGUGAGUAACACGUGGGUGACCUGCCUUUAGCUCUGGGAUAAGCCUGGGAAACCGGGUCUAAUACCGGAUAUGACUCCGCGGCGCAUGUUGUGGGGUGGAAAGCCUUGUGCGGCUGGAGAUGGACG